UCCGUAGGCGGGACUGUAGGCGUCGAGUGAAAUACCACGGCUCAACCGUGGAACUGCUCGGCGAACCACAGUUCUUGAGGCGAGCAGAGGCGAUCAGAACGAUAGGUGGAGCGGUGAAAUGCGUAGAUAUCUAUCGGAAUGCCAAAGGUGAAGACAGGUCGCUGGGCUCGUCCUGACGCUGAGGGACGAAAGCGUGGGGAGCGAAACG
This 208-nucleotide ribosomal RNA is filed under the name uncultured bacterium. Its description in RNAcentral is "partial 16S ribosomal RNA". It matches the Rfam family "Bacterial small subunit ribosomal RNA", at positions 568 to 775 of the family's 1533-position model. The record is from RNAcentral.